AUUGAACGCUGGCGGCGUGCUUAACACAUGCAAGUCGAUCGGUAACAGGUGUAGCAAUACAUGCUGACGAGAGGCGGACGGGUGAGUAAUGCUUGGGAAUCUGCCUAUUAGUGGGGGACAACCCGGGGAAACUCGGGCUAAUACCGCAUACGCUCUACGGAGGAAAGCCGGGGACCGCAAGGCCUGGCGCUAAUAGAUGAGCCCAAGUCGGAUUAGCUAGUGG
This 223-nucleotide ribosomal RNA is filed under the name uncultured bacterium. Its description in RNAcentral is "partial 16S ribosomal RNA". It matches the Rfam family "Bacterial small subunit ribosomal RNA", at positions 30 to 251 of the family's 1533-position model. The record is from RNAcentral.